This is a small nuclear RNA of Otolemur garnettii (small-eared galago), 63 nucleotides long. Its record names the gene U7. It matches the Rfam family "U7 small nuclear RNA". Rfam says of the family: Animal histone pre-mRNAs are spliced by a different mechanism than nuclear pre-mRNAs and self-splicing introns. This processing involves the U7 snRNP, which contains only one RNA species: U7. NCBI's taxonomy places the organism in Eukaryota, Metazoa, Chordata, Mammalia, Primates, Galagidae. The record is from Ensembl.
AAAUGUUACAGCUCUUUCAGAAUUUGUCUAGCAUGAUUUUCCAGUUUAUACUAGAAAUCCCCU